Molecule: transfer RNA, 84 nt
Filed under: Gammaproteobacteria bacterium
Lineage: Bacteria; Pseudomonadati; Pseudomonadota; Gammaproteobacteria
Also listed under: 4 other names
Description: tRNA-Tyr
Rfam family: tRNA
About the family: Transfer RNA (tRNA) molecules are approximately 80 nucleotides in length.
Source: RNAcentral
GGAGGGGUACCCGAGUGGCCAAAGGGAUCAGACUGUAAAUCUGACGCGCAAGCUUCGGUGGUUCGAAUCCACCCCCCUCCACCA